UACGUAGGGGGCAAGCGUUGUCCGGAAUCAUUGGGCGUAAAGAGCGUGUAGGCGGUCCGGUAAGUCCGCUGUGAAAGUCGGGGGCUCAACCCUCGAAUGCCGGUGGAUACUGUUGGGCUAGAGUACGGAAGAGGCGAGUGGAAUUCCUGGUGUAGCGGUGAAAUGCGCAGAUAUCAGGAGGAACACCUAUUGCGAAGGCAGCUCGCUGGGACGUAACUGACGCUGAGACGCGAAAGCGUGGGGAGCAAACAGG
RNAcentral lists this ribosomal RNA (253 nucleotides) under uncultured bacterium. RNAcentral's name for it is "partial 16S ribosomal RNA". It matches the Rfam family "Bacterial small subunit ribosomal RNA", at positions 524 to 776 of the family's 1533-position model. The record is from RNAcentral.